Molecule: ribosomal RNA, 1054 nt
Filed under: Salmonella enterica subsp. enterica serovar Bareilly str. CFSAN000199
Lineage: Bacteria; Pseudomonadati; Pseudomonadota; Gammaproteobacteria; Enterobacterales; Enterobacteriaceae
Also listed under: 8 other names
Description: bacterial LSU rRNA
Rfam family: Bacterial large subunit ribosomal RNA
Source: RNAcentral
GGGUUGUGAGGUUAAGCGACUAAGCGUACACGGUGGAUGCCCUGGCAGUCAGAGGCGAUGAAGGGCGUGCUAAUCUGCGAUAAGCGCCGGUAAGGUGAUAUGAACCGUUAUAACCGGCGAUACCCGAAUGGGGAAACCCAGUGUGAUUCGUCACACUAUCAUUAACUGAAUCCAUAGGUUAAUGAGGCGAACCGGGGGAACUGAAACAUCUAAGUACCCCGAGGAAAAGAAAUCAACCGAGAUUCCCCCAGUAGCGGCGAGCGAACGGGGAGGAGCCCAGAGCCUGAAUCAGCAUGUGUGUUAGUGGAAGCGUCUGGAAAGGCGCGCGAUACAGGGUGACAGCCCCGUACACAAAAGCGCAUGUGCUGUGAGCUCGAUGAGUAGGGCGGGACACGUGGUAUCCUGUCUGAAUAUGGGGGGACCAUCCUCCAAGGCUAAAUACUCCUGACUGACCGAUAGUGAACCAGUACCGUGAGGGAAAGGCGAAAAGAACCCCGGCGAGGGGAGUGAAAAAGAACCUGAAACCGUGUACGUACAAGCAGUGGGAGCACAGGUUUACCUGUGUGACUGCGUACCUUUUGUAUAAUGGGUCAGCGACUUAUAUUCUGUAGCAAGGUUAACCGUAUAGGGGAGCCGGAGGGAAACCGAGUCUUAACCGGGCGUUAAGUUGCAGGGUAUAGACCCGAAACCCGGUGAUCUAGCCAUGGGCAGGUUGAAGGUUGGGUAACACUAACUGGAGGACCGAACCGACUAAUGUUGAAAAAUUAGCGGAUGACCUGUGGCUGGGGGUGAAAGGCCAAUCAAACCGGGAGAUAGCUGGUUCUCCCCGAAAGCUAUUUAGGUAGCGCCUCGUGAAUUCAUCUCCGGGGGUAGAGCACUGUUUCGGCUAGGGGGCCAUCCCGGCUUACCAACCCGAUGCAAACUGCGAAUACCGGAGAAUGUUAUCACGGGAGACACACGGCGGGUGCUAACGUCCGUCGUGAAGAGGGAAACAACCCAGACCGCCAGCUAAGGUCCCAAAGUCAUGGUUAAGUGGGAAACGAUGUGGGAAGGC